GACGAACGCUGGCGGCGUGCUUAACACAUGCAAGUCGAACGGAAAGGCCCUGCUUUUGUGGGGUGCUCGAGUGGCGAACGGGUGAGUAACACGUGAGUAACCUGCCCUUGACUUUGGGAUAACUUCAGGAAACUGGGGCUAAUACCGGAUAGGAGCUCCUGCUGCAUGGUGGGGGUUGGAAAGUUUCGGCGGUUGGGGAUGGACUCGCGGCUUAUCAGCUUGUUGGUGGGGUAGGGGCUUACCAAGGCUUUGAAGGGUAGCCCGCAUGAGAGGGUGACCGGACACAAUGGGACUGAGAUACGGACCAGAAGCCUACGGGAGGCAGUAGUGGGAAAUAUUGCAGAACGGCGGGGAGUCUGAUGCAGAAACGCCGCGUGCGGGAAGACGGCCUUCGGGUGGUAAACCGCUUUCGCAUGUGACGAAGCGUGAGUGACGGUAAUGGGUAAAGAAGCACCGGCUAACUACGUG
RNAcentral lists this ribosomal RNA (468 nucleotides) under uncultured bacterium. RNAcentral's name for it is "partial 16S ribosomal RNA". It matches the Rfam family "Bacterial small subunit ribosomal RNA", at positions 28 to 507 of the family's 1533-position model. The record is from RNAcentral.